Molecule: ribosomal RNA, 253 nt
Filed under: uncultured bacterium
Lineage: Bacteria
Description: partial 16S ribosomal RNA
Rfam family: Bacterial small subunit ribosomal RNA
Source: RNAcentral
UACAGAGGGGGCAAGCGUUGUUCGGAAUUACUGGGCGUAAAGGGCGCGUAGGCGGCCUUCUAAGUCAUGCGUGAAAUCCCCGGGCUCAACCCGGGAACUGCGUCCGAGACUGGAAGGCUUGAAUCCGGGAGAGGGAUGUGGAAUUCCAGGUGUAGCGGUGAAAUGCGUAGAUAUCUGGAGGAACAUCGGUGGCGAAGGCGGCAUCCUGGACCGGUAUUGACGCUGAGGCGCGAAAGCGUGGGGAGCAAACAGG